AAUGCUACAAGCAAGAAAACAGUGGAGUGCAUCAACCACAACUCGUCGAACUUGGAAUGGCAGGGCAAGGUGUCGCCUCCGUGCUUGCCGCAGGGCAAUAUUGCUCAUUGUGUAUUGGCGUGUCUAUCCCAACAGGUAACAACAUGCAUGUCAUCUCUAGUCUCUACAAGUGAGAAAUGCAUCUAGCUAUACCAACAGGUAACUACGUCUCCUACUGUAUAAUAUGAACCGUAUGUAUAAUACAUUUGUUUUGAAAGAGACACUAAAAAAUAAUGUCAAAUCAGAUAUAUAUUAAGAAAAACAAGAUACCUGCAUGAUGUAUAU
Molecule: long non-coding RNA, 324 nt
Filed under: Setaria italica (foxtail millet)
Lineage: Eukaryota; Viridiplantae; Streptophyta; Magnoliopsida; Poales; Poaceae
Description: long non-coding RNA (SITA_LNC002424)
Source: RNAcentral